RNAcentral lists this ribosomal RNA (389 nucleotides) under uncultured bacterium. RNAcentral's name for it is "bacterial SSU rRNA". It matches the Rfam family "Bacterial small subunit ribosomal RNA", at positions 30 to 420 of the family's 1533-position model. The record is from RNAcentral.
UGAACGCUGGCGGAAUGCUUUACACAUGCAAGUCGAACGGCAGCACGGAGAGCUUGCUCUCUGGUGCGAGUGGCGAACGGGUGAGUAAUAUAUCGGAACGUGUCCAAUAAUGGGGGAUAACGAGUCGAAAGAUUCGCUAAUACCGCAUACGCCUACGGGGGAAAGCAGGGAUCGCAAGACCUUGCGCGAAUGGAGCGGCCGAUGGCAGAUUAGGUAGUUGGUGAGGUAAAGGCUCACCAAGCCUUCGAUCUGUAGCUGGUCUGAGAGGACGACCUGCCACACUGGGACUGAGACACGGCCCAGACUCCUACGGGAGGCAGCAGUGGGGAAUUUUGGACAAUGGGCGCAAGCCUGAUCCAGCCAUGCCGCGUGCAGGAUGAAGGCCUCGG